CAUUUUUAGCUCACCUGGCCUAAAAGGCCAAGUGAGCUUUUCUCAUCACUUGGCGUCCGGCGUCCGGCGUCGUCCGUCGUCCGUCGUCGUCCGUCGUCGUCGUUAACUUUUACAAAAAUCUUCUCCUCUGAAACUACUGGGCCAAAUUAAACCAAACUAGGCCACAAUCAUCAUUGGGGUAUCUAGUUUAAAAAAUGUGUCCGGUGACCCGUCCAACCAUCCAAGAUGGCCGCCAUUGCUAAAAAUAGAACAUAGGGGUAAAAUGCAGUUUUUGGCUUAUAACUCAAAAACCAAAGCAUUUAGAGCAAAUCUGACAUGGGG
RNAcentral lists this long non-coding RNA (321 nucleotides) under Mytilus galloprovincialis (Mediterranean mussel). Lineage: Eukaryota; Metazoa; Mollusca; Bivalvia; Mytilida; Mytilidae. The record is from RNAcentral.